UACGUAGGGUGCGAGCGUUGUCCGGAAUUACUGGGCGUAAAGAGCUCGUAGGUGGUUUGUCGCGUUGUCCGUGAAAACUCACAACUCAAUUGUGGGCGUGCGGGCGAUACGGGCAGACUGGAGUACUGCAGGGGAGACUGGAAUUCCUGGUGUAGCGGUGGAAUGCGCAGAUAUCAGGAGGAACACCGGUGGCGAAGGCGGGUCUCUGGGCAGUAACUGACGCUAAGGAGCGAAAGCGUGGGGAGCGAACAGG
RNAcentral lists this ribosomal RNA (253 nucleotides) under uncultured bacterium. RNAcentral's name for it is "partial 16S ribosomal RNA". It matches the Rfam family "Bacterial small subunit ribosomal RNA", at positions 524 to 776 of the family's 1533-position model. The record is from RNAcentral.